This 335-nucleotide unclassified non-coding RNA is filed under the name soil metagenome. RNAcentral describes it as "partial contains 5.8S ribosomal RNA, internal transcribed spacer 2, and large subunit ribosomal RNA". The stretch from base 1 to 120 matches the Rfam family "5.8S ribosomal RNA", at positions 35 to 154 of the family's 154-position model. The record is from RNAcentral.
GAUGAAGAACGUAGCGAAAUGCGAUAAUUAAUGUGAAUUGCAGAAUUCAGUGAAUCAUCGAAUCUUUGAACGCACAUUGCGCCCGCCAGUAUUCUGGCGGGCAUGCCUGUUCGAGCGUCAUUUCAACCAUCAAGCCCCCGGCUUGUGUUGGGGACCUGCGGCUGCCGCAGGCCCUGAAAACCAGUGGCGGGCUCGCUAGUCACUCCGAGCGUAGUAAUACAUCUCGCUCAGGGCGUGCUGCGGGUUCCGGCCGUUAAAAAGCCUUAUUUACCCAAGGUUGACCUCGGAUCAGGUAGGAAGACCCGCUGAACUUAAGCAUAUCAAUAAGCGGAGGA